UGGGAGCUUGACAGUUCUGGCUGUGGUUGCUGAGAUCAGAUUUGGAAAAACAAAUCACUAUAUGUUUCAACAUUAGGUGAUGAAUGAAUCAAUAAGCUAAUUAAAUGUAUCUUUCCUUCCUUAUUCUGCUAAUUGAGACUGGAGAAGAUUAUAAACAGGUCCACAUGACAAACCAGAGGUCGUCAUUUAAUUUGGAUACCGGCAUCACCUUUCCAAGAUAUAUGGGCCUGGGCCUUUUGAAACCCUCAUAAGAACUGUCUUGGGAUGCUGGUUGCCCUGGAAAGAGCAUGUCACUGUGGAAGAGGCAGCCUCCUUUGGCUGCAGGAAAUUCCUGAAGACGGACUGGGCUGUGAGUUGUCAGAUGAUUCCUCUCAAAGAACAAGGCUUGUCUCUAUACAAAUGGAAAUCUCAGGAAAACACUUUACACAGCUCUUCACAUUCUACAAGCUGUGAGAACUGAAAGCAGAGCCCUCAUCUGAAAACUGGGGAUUAAGAAGAAUAUUUAGAAGACAGCCAACAACUUUUCACUUCAUUUUCAAUGGACAGAUAAUGGACUUAAUGGCCCACAGUGUUACAGGAAUCUAAAAGAGAGAUGAUGAGAGAGCCUGAGCAAGUUCCAGUGGAGGCUGAAUGGGGGCAGAGGAAGAUCCAGAAAGGCUUGGAGGUAAGGUCAACAUCAAGGUGUUCAGCUUCAUGGGGACAUUUCGGAAGGAGACAGGAAAACUUCAGCUUUAAAAAAUGUGUGAUGCUUUGAAAUCUUCCAUUCUUUUCAUUUGAUAACAUCUGUAUUGGACAAUCAGCACCAUGCCUGACUUGCAGAUAAAACAACUGAAACUCUGAUGUCAAGUAGUUUAUCUAGUUCACACAGAAGAUGUAAAUCUAAAAACAAUAGCUUUCUUGACUAUUAUUCUGACACUCUUUUCCUACAAUAGCUUAAGUAAUUUUUAUGUAACCAAGAAAAAUCGUAGGAAAUAUUAGUUUUCCAUUUGAAAAUGUAUCUAUAUCUGUCUAUCUACAUCCACAUCUAUAUCUGUACCUAUAACUAUCAUCCAUCUAUUUAUCUUUAGCAUAAUCCUUAAGAAUAGGAGAAAUUAUGAUCUUAAAUUCUGCAAUAAAUUUCUUCAAAGUAACAGUUUUAUUAUUUUUAUAUAUUUUAUUCUCACAGUGGGACUUCUGAUUUCUUCUGUAUGAUUCCUUGCCCAGCCUAGACAACCAUGUUCAGAAGCUUCUGGAAUGUUCUGACAAAUAUUCCAUAUAUUCUACUUCCAGCAUUAACUCCUGCCACUCUAAACUAAAAUUACCUAAAGUAAUCCUUCCACUUCUCAUAGAGUUGUUGUCAAGCAACAAAGGACAGUUUAGACCCAGCCCACUAAACAUAACAUUUUAUUUCAAUUAUGUCCUUGUUAUGGUUUGGAAAUUCUUAUGGUCAUCAAUCAAUAUUCCUAAAGUAAUUUUAAACCUAGAAUGUAAAAUACAGUUUUUAAGCCAUUACAUUACUAUUGUAAUAAUAAUAAACUAGAAUUUGUUGAGUAUUUUCAAGUUGUCAAACAGUGUCAUAAAUGCUUUGCAUGCAUUAUCUCAUUUAACCCUCACCAUGGAUACAUUAUUAGUAUUAUUAUUAUUAUUGUACAACCAGAGCCGCAGAGGUUUAGAAAUAUUAAACAUAUAUGUCAAGGUCACAGAACUAUGAGCUGUCAA
This is a long non-coding RNA of Globicephala melas (long-finned pilot whale), 1698 nucleotides long. RefSeq lists it as uncharacterized. NCBI's taxonomy places the organism in Eukaryota, Metazoa, Chordata, Mammalia, Artiodactyla, Delphinidae. The record is from RefSeq and is a predicted model, not a curated record.